UUCGGGUUGUAAAGCUCUUUUGUCCGGAAAGAAAAGCUUUCGGUUAAUACCCGGAAGUCCUGACGGUACCGGAAGAAUAAGCACCGGCUAACUUCGUGCCAGCAGCCGCGGUAAUACGAAGGGUGCAAGCGUUACUCGGAAUUACUGGGCGUAAAGCGUGCGUAGGUGGUUCGUUAAGUCUGAUGUGAAAGCCCUGGGCUCAACCUGGGAAUUGCACUGGAUACUGGCGGGCUAGAGUGCGGUAGAGGAUGGCGGAAUUCCCGGUGUAGCAGUGAAAUGCGUAGAGAUCGGGAGGAACAUCCGUGGCGAAGGCGGCCAUCUGGACCAGCACUGACACUGAGGCACGAAAGCGUGGGGAGCAAACAGGAUUAGAUACCCUGGUAGUCCACGCCCUAAACGAUGCGAACUGGAUGUUGGGUGCAACUAGGCACUCAGUAUC
RNAcentral lists this ribosomal RNA (439 nucleotides) under uncultured bacterium. RNAcentral describes it as "bacterial SSU rRNA". It matches the Rfam family "Bacterial small subunit ribosomal RNA", at positions 417 to 847 of the family's 1533-position model. The record is from RNAcentral.